Transfer RNA from Cryptosporidium parvum Iowa II, 72 nucleotides. It matches the Rfam family "tRNA". From Rfam's summary of the family: Transfer RNA (tRNA) molecules are approximately 80 nucleotides in length. Their secondary structure includes four short double-helical elements and three loops (D, anti-codon, and T loops). NCBI's taxonomy places the organism in Eukaryota, Apicomplexa, Conoidasida, Eucoccidiorida, Cryptosporidiidae. The record is from Rfam.
GGGCUGAUAGUAUAGUGGUACUACGUUUCGUUCGCAUCGAAAAGAUCACGGGUUCGAUUCCCGUUCAGUCCA